MicroRNA precursor from Oryza sativa Japonica Group (Japanese rice), 200 nucleotides. It matches the Rfam family "MIR1435 microRNA precursor family". Lineage: Eukaryota; Viridiplantae; Streptophyta; Magnoliopsida; Poales; Poaceae. The record is from Rfam.
UGGCUUUGGUCACAGUCAAACUGCUUUAAGUUUGACCAUGUUUAUAGAAAAAAAUAGUAAUAUUUUCGACCCAAGAUAAAUUUAUUAUAAAAAUAUAUUUAAUUAUUAAUUUAAUAAAACUAAUUUGGUAAUGUAAAUAUUACUAUAUUUGUCUAUAAACUUAGUCAAACUUAAAGCAGUUUGACUUUGACUAAAGUCAA